RNAcentral lists this ribosomal RNA (497 nucleotides) under uncultured bacterium. RNAcentral describes it as "partial 16S ribosomal RNA". It matches the Rfam family "Bacterial small subunit ribosomal RNA", at positions 28 to 507 of the family's 1533-position model. The record is from RNAcentral.
GAUGAACGCUGGCGGCGUGCCUAAUACAUGCAAGUCGAGCGAACGGACGAGAAGCUUGCUUCUCUGAUGUUAGCGGCGGACGGGUGAGUAACACGUGGAUAACCUACCUAUAAGACUGGGAUAACUUCGGGAAACCGGAGCUAAUACCGGAUAAUAUUUUGAGCCGCAUGGUUCAAAAGUGAAAGACGGUCUUGCUGUCACUUAUAGAUGGAUCCGCGCUGCAUUAGCUAGUUGGUAAGGUAACGGCUUACCAAGGCAACGAUGCAUAGCCGACCUGAGAGGGUGAUCGGCCACACUGGAACUGAGACACGGUCCAGACUCCUACGGGAGGCAGCAGUAGGGAAUCUUCCGCAAUAGGCGAAAGCCUGACGGAGCAACGCCGCGUGAGUGAUGAAGGUCUUCGGAUCGUAAAACUCUGUUAUUAGGGAAGAACAUAUGUGUAAGUAACUGUGCACAUCUUGACGGUACCUAAUCAGAAAGCCACGGCUAACUACGUG